CCGACCUUGAAAUACCACCCUUUAAUGUUUGAUGUUCUAACGUGGACCCGUAAUCCGGGUUGCGGACAGUGUCUGGUGGGUAGUUUGACUGGGGCGGUCUCCUCCUAAAGAGUAACGGAGGAGCACGAAGGUUGGCUAAUCCUGGUCGGACAUCAGGAGGUUAGUGCAAUGGCAUAAGCCAGCUUGACUGCGAGCGUGACGGCGCGAGCAGGUGCGAAAGCAGGUCAUAGUGAUCCGGUGGUUCUGAAUGGAAGGGCCAUCGCUCAACGGAUAAAAGGUACUCCGGGGAUAACAGGCUGAUACCGCCCAAGAGUUCAUAUCGACGGCGGUGUUUGGCACCUCGAUGUCGGCUCAUCACAUCCUGGGGCUGAAGUAGGUCCCAAGGGUAUGGCUGUUCGCCAUUUAAAGUGGUACGCGAGCUGGGUUUAGAACGUCGUGAGACAGUUCGGUCCCUAUCUGCCGUGGGCGCUGGAGAACUGAGGGGGGCUGCUCCUAGUACGAGAGGACCGGAGUGGACGCAUCACUGGUGUUCGGGUUGUCAUGCCAAUGGCACUGCCCGGUAGCUAAAUGCGGAAGAGAUAAGUGCUGAAAGCAUCUAAGCACGAAACUUGCCCCGA
RNAcentral lists this ribosomal RNA (617 nucleotides) under Salmonella enterica subsp. enterica serovar Infantis. RNAcentral's name for it is "partial 23S ribosomal RNA". It matches the Rfam family "Bacterial large subunit ribosomal RNA", at positions 2186 to 2802 of the family's 2925-position model. RNAcentral also lists the same sequence under 7 other names. Lineage: Bacteria; Pseudomonadati; Pseudomonadota; Gammaproteobacteria; Enterobacterales; Enterobacteriaceae. The record is from RNAcentral.